UUCCUGAAAAAUUUGACCCGGUUAGGAGCUGACUAUUUUCAAAGGAACCAGACCGACAGGAUGCAUGAGGUCAUCAAUUAUUGGGAAGUAUCUGCUGUAAUCAUGAUCAAGACCACGGCAAGAACCAGGCCCGAAUUUCUCGUACCAGCCCUUGAUCUUCUGCUCCAGGUCAGCGUUGGCCUCCUCUAGUGCUCGUACAUUUUCCAGAAGAGUGCCCCACCAUGAGAAGAAACACCCGGAAGAAGAAUUGAAACUGAUCAGAAGAGGGUCAGCAGAGAUGUAGAGAAGAGAAGGUCCGGAUACAGUGGAGGAAAGAAAAAGAGACAAGAAAUUUGAAAUCAAGCCAAUAUAUUUUUGAACUCUAGAUGAAAAAUGAGAAAAGGUAUCUAUGUGCAGUUAGAAAAGCUGUGUGGAACUAUACUCAUACCAGAGGUUAAGGAACGUGAAAUGCCUAUAAAAAUGAGCAGAAGAAAAGGAUUGAGGUAAAAUCCCACAAAAACAUUAGCACAUAAAGACAAAAAAAGUAGGAGCUGAAUUACAUCUCUAUAGAUAAGGAGAGUAUCCCAGAAAGACAUGUCCACAAAACAGAUUAAGAUACAAUGUACCACUUCAAAGUGAUCUCAAAUGCAUUAAAAAAUGGUGGUUGAAAAAAAAGUCAACACAAGCCAUAAUUAGGACACUUAGAAAUGAGAAGACAGAACUUACUAGGAAAGGAUUA
Long non-coding RNA from Neogale vison (American mink), 718 nucleotides. RefSeq lists it as uncharacterized. The record is from RefSeq and is a predicted model, not a curated record. Lineage: Eukaryota; Metazoa; Chordata; Mammalia; Carnivora; Mustelidae. The transcript has 3 exons.